RNAcentral lists this ribosomal RNA (253 nucleotides) under uncultured bacterium. RNAcentral describes it as "partial 16S ribosomal RNA". It matches the Rfam family "Bacterial small subunit ribosomal RNA", at positions 524 to 776 of the family's 1533-position model. The record is from RNAcentral.
UACGUAGGGGGCAAGCGUUGUCCGGAAUCAUUGGGCGUAAAGAGCGUGUAGGCGGCCCGGUCAGUCCGCCGUGAAAGUCCAGGGCUCAACCCUGGAAUGCCGGUGGAUACUGCCGGGCUGGAGUCCGGAAGAGGCGAGUGGAAUUCCUGGUGUAGCGGUGAAAUGCGCAGAUAUCGGGAGGAACACCGGUGGCGAAGGCGGUUCUCUGGGCCUUACCUGACGCUGAGGAGCGAAAGCGUGGGGAGCGAACAGG